CCUGCCCCUAGAAGCGAUGCAAGCUUGGCGGCUGUGUAACAUGUGCAUCAGUAAGUGGCAGAGAAGAGUGACACUGUGCUCUGUCUAUGCUCAGUGUUCUGAUUUAUGAACAUCUGGAUGAUUAGUAGCCUACUGUU
Molecule: small nucleolar RNA, 137 nt
Organism: Rattus norvegicus (Norway rat)
Lineage: Eukaryota; Metazoa; Chordata; Mammalia; Rodentia; Muridae
Product: small nucleolar RNA SNORA17
Source: Ensembl